GGCCUUUUGUUAAAAAUUUAAGGUCUGGCCUGCCCACUGAGGAUUUUAAAGGCCGCGGUAACUUGACCGUGCUAAGGUAGCAUAAUCAUUAGUUUUUUAAUUGAAAGCUGGAAUGAAUGGUUGGAUGAGAAAAGGACUGUCUCUAGUUUAACUUAAGUGAAUUUUAUUUUUAAGUAAAAAAGCUUAAAUUUUUUUGAAAGACGAGAAGACCCUAUAGAGUUUUAUAAUUUUUGGGUUUUAAAUUUUUUGUAUUUUGAUUUUGUAGUUUAAGAAUUAUUUGAUUGGGGUGAUUAAAAAAUUUGAUAAACUUUUUUUAAAUCGAUACAUUGAUUUAUGAGUUCUUGAUCCAUUGUUUAUGAUUAAAAGAUUAAAUUACCUUAGGGAUAACAGCGUAAUUUUUUUUGAGAGUUCAAAUCGAAAGGAGAGAUUGCGACCUCGAUGUUGGAUUAAAAUUAAGUUUUGGUGAAGAGGCUAAAAAGGUUAGGUCUGUUCGACCUUUAAAAUUU
RNAcentral lists this ribosomal RNA (506 nucleotides) under Batocera horsfieldi. RNAcentral's name for it is "partial 16S ribosomal RNA". It matches the Rfam family "Bacterial large subunit ribosomal RNA", at positions 1860 to 2596 of the family's 2925-position model. The record is from RNAcentral. Lineage: Eukaryota; Metazoa; Arthropoda; Insecta; Coleoptera; Cerambycidae.